CGGCGGACGGGUGAGUAAUGUAUGGGGAUCUGCCCGAUAGAGGGGGAUAACUACUGGAAACGGUGGCUAAUACCGCAUAAUGUCUACGGACCAAAGCAGGGGCUCUUCGGACCUUGCACUAUCGGAUGAACCCAUAUGGGAUUAGCUAGUAGGUGGGGUAAAGGCUCACCUAGGCGACGAUCUCUAGCUGGUCUGAGAGGAUGAUCACCCACACUGGGACUGAGACACGGCCCACACUCCUACGGGAGGCAGCAGUGGGGAAUAUUGCACAAUGGGCGCAAGCCUGAUGCACCCAUGCCGCGUGUAUGAAAAAGGCCUUAGGGUUGUAAAGUACUUUCAGCGGGGAGGAAGGUGAUAAGGUUAAUACCCUUAUCAAUUGACGUUACCCGCAAAAGAAGCACCGGCUAACUCCGUGCCAGCAGCCGCGGUAAUACAGAGGGUGCAAGCGUUAAUCGGAAUUACUGGGCGUAAAGCGCACGCACGCGGUCAAUUAAGUCAGAUGUGAAAGCCCCGAGCUUAACUUGGGAAUUGCAUCUGAAACUGGUUGGCUAGAGUCUUGUAGAGGGGGGUAGAAUUCCAUGUGUAGCGGUGAAAUGCGUAGAGAUGUGGAAGAAUACCGGUGGCGAACGCGGCCCCCUGGACAAAGACUGACGCUCAUGUGCGAAAGCGUGGAGAGCAAACAAGAUUAGAUACCCUGAGUACUCCACGCUGUAAACGAUGUCUAUUUAGAUGUUGUGGUCUUGAACCGUGUCUUCUGGAGCUAACGCGUAAAUCCACCGCCUGGAGAGUACGGCCGCGAUAUAAAACUCAGAUGAAUUGACGGGGCGCCCGCACAGCGGUGGCAU
Molecule: ribosomal RNA, 845 nt
Filed under: Proteus mirabilis
Lineage: Bacteria; Pseudomonadati; Pseudomonadota; Gammaproteobacteria; Enterobacterales; Morganellaceae
Description: bacterial SSU rRNA
Rfam family: Bacterial small subunit ribosomal RNA
Source: RNAcentral